RNAcentral lists this ribosomal RNA (405 nucleotides) under uncultured bacterium. RNAcentral describes it as "partial 16S ribosomal RNA". It matches the Rfam family "Bacterial small subunit ribosomal RNA", at positions 28 to 526 of the family's 1533-position model. The record is from RNAcentral.
GAUGAACGCUGGCGGCGUGCCUAAUACAUGCAAGUCGAGCGCAGCGGGGACGGGUGCGUAACACGUGGCUAACCUCCUAUAAGACUGUGAUAACUUAGGGAAACCGGAGCUAAACCGGAUAUUUGUAGCUGGGUCCGGGCGGCAGUAGCUAGUGGGUAAGGGCACGGCUUACCAAGGCAACGAUGCCUAGCCGACCUGAGAGGGUGAGCGGCCAAAGUGGAACUGAGCCACGGUCCAGACCCCUACGGGAGGCAGCAGUAGGGAAUCUUCCGCAAUGGGCGAAAGCCUGACGGAGCAACGCCGCGUGGGUGAUGAAGGUCUUCGGAUCGUAAAACUCUGUUAUUAGGGAAGCGGUACCUAAUCAGAAAGCCCCGGCUAACUACGUGCCAGCAGCCGCGGUAAUAC